GACGAACGCUGGCGGCGUGCCUAACACAUGCAAGUCGAACGGAACUGUUUUGAAAGAUUUCUUCGGAAUGAAUUUGAUUUAGUUUAGUGGCGGACGGGUGAGUAACGCGUGAGUAACCUGCCUUCAAGAGGGGAAUAACAUUCUGAAAAGAAUGCUAAUACCGCAUGACAUAUCGGAACCACAUGGUUUUGAUAUCAAAGAUUUUAUCGCUUGAAGAUGGACUCGCGUCCGAUUAGUUAGUGGGUGAGGUAACGGCUCACCAAGACCGCGAUCGGUAGCCGGACUGAGAGGUUGAACGGCCACAUUGGGACUGAGACACGGCCCAGACUCCUACGGGAGGCAGCAGUGGGGGAUAUUGCGCAAUGGGGGCAACCCUGACGCAGCAACGCCGCGUGAAGGAUGAAGGUUUUCGGAUUGUAAACUUCUUUUAUUAAGGACGAAAAAUGACGGUACUUAAUGAAUAAGCUCCGGCUAACUACGUG
Molecule: ribosomal RNA, 482 nt
Filed under: uncultured bacterium
Lineage: Bacteria
Description: partial 16S ribosomal RNA
Rfam family: Bacterial small subunit ribosomal RNA
Source: RNAcentral